GUCCCUACGGGGGGCAGCAGUGAGGAAUAUUGGUCAAUGGGCGGGAGCCUGAACCAGCCAAGCCGCGUGAGGGAAGAAGGUACAGCGUAUCGUAAACCUCUUUUGUCAGGGAACAAAGGCGGGGACUAGUCCCCGGAUGAGGGUACCUGAAGAAAAAGCAUCGGCUAACUCCGUGCCAGCAGCCGCGGUAAUACGGAGGAUGCGAGCGUUAAUCGGAAUUACUGGGCGUAAAGCGCACGUAGGCUGUAUGACAAGUCAAGGGUGAAAUGCCACGGCUCAACCGUGGAACUGCCUUUGAAACUGUA
Molecule: ribosomal RNA, 305 nt
Filed under: uncultured bacterium
Lineage: Bacteria
Description: bacterial SSU rRNA
Rfam family: Bacterial small subunit ribosomal RNA
Source: RNAcentral